CCCCACUCAGGAUCUCACCUGGAGAGUUUCCGGUACUCUACCAGUCUCGUCUACGGGGGGGAGAGUCGAGCAGAGGCCUCCCCUUUCCAUUCCUAGCCUGGCCAGUGGCUAGCGAGUGGAAGGCCAUCUGCUACAAGU
This 138-nucleotide small nucleolar RNA is filed under the name Ornithorhynchus anatinus (platypus). Lineage: Eukaryota; Metazoa; Chordata; Mammalia; Monotremata; Ornithorhynchidae. The record is from RNAcentral.